UGACAAAUACAAUUAGAUUUGAUUUAAGAUAUGUUAUGUUUUGGUGUGUGAUUCUUUCAUUCAACACAUGAUAAAGCCGCUCUUGCAGUGGCAAGACAUUAAUAUGUCGUAGUUCCAGCAUGGUUUUAGACUAGAGAAUCUGCUUGUUUAGAUGCUUUGGGAUGGAUGAUGGAUCCUCUCCAAAUGCAUCUUAUCCAAAAUCCUCGUUCCAUCUGCCAGCUUGCUCACAAAUGAUCCACACAGCAGGAUCAUGGCACACAGCUACACUGCAUCGACAGUUCUGUGUGUUGAGGUUGUACAGUAUGCGUUGCGUAGCAUGCAGGGUGAGUUAUGAUGUCCACUCCACUCUGCACCAAGCAGCUCACUGCCCAGCACCAAGCAGCUCACUGCCCAGCACCAAGCAGCUCACUGCCCAGCACCAAGCAGCUCACUGCCCAAGCCCUGUGCUUUUUUUCUUCAUCUUUCCCAAUUGCCUUGGUAAGGCAGCCUCUAAUAAUACUUAUAACAUUCAUACAUUAUAGCUUGGUGUGAUGUAAUCAAAUCAUUGUUUAAUAAGAGCAGUAGGCCUACAUGUUUGGAUAGUAGUAAUUUACCCAAACGAGUGCUUCGAGGGUAAUUGAUAUAAUGUUGUGUAACAGACAGAAACAAAGAUGGCAGACAGUAAUUGUAAUUACACGUGUAUAGUCUUUUGUUGUGAGAUGUGGCGUGACAUCACUGUGCAGGUUCCCUGCAGGGAUGUCUUUGAGCUGCCAGCCAAGCUUCAGCUGAACAUAAAUCAGGAAAAUGUUUUUUCGCUGACGAUCAGAAUCAGUUCUACUGGCUGAAAUUGUCUUGUUACUAGUGCUAUGGAAUAUCCUUGUUGCAUAAUUUAACAUUUGGGUAUUCAUCAAUAACCCAUUUUGAGAGCUUGGGACUAUAAGGUUCUAUCUACAAAAAGAUAAUUCGGAGAUAAUUGGCUUUAAUGUUCCGAACCCUCAUUGGUUUGAAUGGUGUCAGCAAUUUUUAUAUUGUAUUCUUUUGAACUUAACAACACACUGGAUAAAGAAAUGAGCCCUAAUUGAGGUCAGUAUCAUUGACGUCAGGUUAGGUCAGUUAGGUCCUUAUUAAAAGUGGGUAGAUUAAAUCUACUGUACAGCAUAAAAAGGUGUGUUUUGUUUGAGGAGGCGCCCUUUACCUUGUUUAAUUACCUUGUUUGAGGAGUCGCCCUUUACGUUGUUUAAUUAUGUUGUUUGAGGAGGGGCCUUUACGUUGUUUAAUUAUGUUGUUUGAGGAGGCGCCCUUUACAUUGUUUAAUUACGUUGUUUGAGGAGUCGCCCUUUACAUUGUUUAAUUACGUUGUUUGAGGAGUCGCCCUUUACGUUGUUUAAUUGCGUUGUUUGAGGAGUCGCCCUUUACAUUGUUUCAUACACUUACCUUACAAGAGGUAAGGUAAGUGAAACUGCAAUUUGAAAUAAUUUAGUGUGUCACAAUAUCAUUAAUUUCAAUCUUGGCAAAUAAAACAAUGCUUCUAUAACACUUGUUUAUUCUCUGUCCUUAGAUGUGGAACAUUGCUGCAUGGUGUUAGUGGUGGCAGGGUCUGCCUCUUGCUACACCGCCUGCUGAUGGAAAAGUCUGCUCUUGUCAGUCAACCUGCUGUAUGACCAAUGGAGGAUACUCCUGCUGUCCAGUUCCCUGUGCAGUGUGUUGCUCUGACAUGUGUUGCUCUGACCCACUGUUGCCCGUCCGGAUUCAGCUGCAACACCACGGACCAGAUGUGUACGAAAGAUGACCAACCAUGGAACAGCGUGCCCAUGCUGAAGAAGGUGGCUGCAGAGGAACCAUGCUCUCCUGUCUCUCCCCCACUCAAGUCUGAUAUCGUCCCAGAGCAAUGCUGCUCUGUGGUGCACAGUGAUGGCUCAAAUAUCUGCCCUGCUGCCGUCAACCCGAGGGCGGGUGGAGCUGCUGUCCAUUUCCCCCUAGCGCGUGCUGUCUGGAUGGCGUCCACUGCUGUUCUUAUGGUUAUAAGUGUGACCGCAUACACACUAAGUGUCUGAAGUCCGACGGCCUGAGGUACCCCUUUAUACCGAGGCAGGCCCAGGUCCUUUCUAUGAUCAAAGUCACCAAGAUCUCCAAGCCGGAUAACAAGGUCAACGACCAGCAGGUCCCAUGGACACCACGUGGUCGCGGUUGACAUCACCCCACAUAGCUCGGUCAUUCACUUCCACGGGAAAUCAACUGACCUCCAGCUCCUAUAACCCGUUGCGGCAAGGGAAACACUGGCAAUUACUGUUGUCCACAGCCAUCUAAGCAAAACUAAUGUGUUUUUCUUUUGAAUUACAUUUAGCCUAACUGCUGAGAUUGGGAUUGUACACUUUUUGUGAAUGUAUUAUAUGUACAAGAAUGGUGAAUCAUGCCACCCACUCAUUGUUGAUUUAAAAAACAGACAGGUCAAUAAAAUAAAUUAUAAUUAUUGUAUCUAUUUACUGGGUUGGGGUUAUAGGGUAACAUGGUUUCAACAUCUUGUACUGGUUUUUCUACCACUGCUAACUAGCCAGUACUACCGCUGAUUUAAAAUGUUUUAUGCAAAUAUAAAUUAUGCACAUGGAAGCAGUACACACACUCUUUUUGGCUGCUGUCAUCAAAACUGAAGCAGACUCCUGGGGGACCAGAGAGACAGGAGGCAGGGAAUAGCCUGGACAGAGGGAACAUUCUGGAAUUCUGCACAUCUGCUGGAGGCUACUGCAUAAAUGUUGGUCACCCCUAAGAAUUGUGACUUGUUUGACUUUAUGUUUAGGUAAAACAAUUAUGCAUU
Molecule: long non-coding RNA, 2791 nt
Organism: Coregonus clupeaformis (lake whitefish)
Lineage: Eukaryota; Metazoa; Chordata; Actinopteri; Salmoniformes; Salmonidae
Exons: 4
Source: RefSeq, a predicted model, not a curated record